Molecule: long non-coding RNA, 1312 nt
Filed under: Gadus morhua (Atlantic cod)
Lineage: Eukaryota; Metazoa; Chordata; Actinopteri; Gadiformes; Gadidae
Description: lncRNA (ENSGMOG00000024948.1)
Source: RNAcentral
UCCUCUUUGUAAUGAAAAUUAAACUUCAACAUUUUUCACAGUCGUUUAGACAACGGUCUGGUCUGUUUUAAGGCCCAUAUCCAUUAUUUACUCGUAGCCUAUCUGCCUGGCAACGGACGAUCACGUCGAAUGACGUGAACAUUCGCGAACCUUCUAUCUAGCGAUCCGUUAUCUUUAUUGUGCUAUUUCGUCCUUGACCUGCUUUAAAUACUCAGUUUACUUGCUCAAUUUGAUUAAACAAUUAAAUACAAUACAAAUAUAAAGUAAAAACAAGUGUUAUCAAGCGAUCCGUUAACUGUAUUAUGUUAUUUCGUCUUUGGCAACAUGAGCGCGAAUGUUUUUUGAAACCUGCCCGGCAACGGACGACGCGAUCAUCUGCUGAAAGGCAGGUUUGGAAUGGAUUACGUAUGGAUGACGCGCCCGGUACAAAUUUGGCAGCCGGUACAAAUUUAGUGUGACAGUGCCCGCGUUGCCCGGGCUGCUGUCACGGGCCCGCAGUUCCAGGGCCAUUCAUUCAUUCACGGGGCACGCGGGAGACGCGGGAGUGCCGUGGCCGCGUUGCCCACGGUUCCCGGGCCAUUCAUUCAUUCGUUCGCGGGGCACGGCGAGAGUCGGGGGAGACGCGGGAACGCCGUGGCCACGGUGUUCCAGCAGAGUUUGGUCUCAUAGUGUCUAUUGCCCCUUUUCCAUCCUCUUUGUAAUGAAAAUUAAGCUUAAACAUUUUUCACAGUCGUUUAGACAACGCCUGUUUGUGAUUUAUUAUGGUAGCAUUAUGGAACUUGGUCCUCAUCAUCUUCUAUUUUGUGUUCUGCAGCUUCAACUUUUCUGCCAUUGCCUCCUCUGCUGGGUUUGAUUGAUCAAGAUGAGUUUUCAUCUCAUUAAGUUUGCCAACGGGGACAUUGCUGUGGUCCCGGAAAAUUGGUGUGAUGACGGGAUGGUGUACUGGCCAAAAUAUAAAAACACCGAACGUGCCAAAAGGGCAGCGGCCAACAGUGAGACACCAGAGUCAAACUGGCCAAAAUAUGACAUCAUGGUCAUCAGAACUUGUGACAACUACAAAGAUGCCUGUAGGCUAAUGGAGAAGUACCAGACGGGCUGCAACACCACUGAUCUUCAGUCUGAGGCAGAGGAGGAGUGUGGGCCGCCAGAUAAACGACUAAGGAAGGCAGUGCAUCACUUUGGGGACUCUGAUGAGAGUGAAGAUGGUGGCCAAUUGCACUGGCAGACUCCAACAUCUCGCCGAGGGCCAGGCAGCAGCAGCAGAGUCUCUCUGCUCUCUGCACUUGAGGAAAACUGUCUCGGUAAAGACUGA